UUAUAGAGUUUUUGGUUGAAUUUUGGGUUAAAUAAAUUUUUUAAAUUAUUUUAGCCAUUGGAUUUUAAUUUGGACCGUUAGAUUUGAUUAUAUUUGAUCUAAGUCGUUGGAUUCAAUAAAUAUAUAAAUAUAAAUGUUCAUAUAAUUUUGUGAACUAAAAAAUAUUUGAAUGUGGAUUGUUGGAUUAACCAACGGUCCAAUUACUACCAUCAUCCGAUGAAGAAAAGUAACCGUUGGCUACAGACAAAACUUGACAAACUGGAGGACACACCCACAUGGGGGGGGUCCACCUCGAUUGAAUGCAGGUUAAAGGCCUUGCAUGCUGCUUGUGGAGCAAGUGACAGAGGGCAAUUGGGCUUCACAGCCCAGGUUUCAGUCACAUAAGCUAGGGUCCACUCCAAUUUGUGGCCUAAACUUGGGCUGGUAUUUAACCUCCAUUUGGGUUUUAGGUUUUAAAUUAAUUUCAGAUCAUGGGUUGGUGUGGAUUAUCUACCGUCUGACUAAUGCCUAAUGUCUUGCACCUUGCUUACACAUAGAAUAUUUUGCUUUUUGGAAUGAAGACAAACUCCACCAUUUCAUUUAUUACGGCCAUUCAAUGUGAAUCAUGAAUCAUGGACCCAUGAGGUCACGUGAAAAUUAAGCCAAUCUCACACAUUUAAAUAUUUCACCGAAUGCCAAUAUCACAAACCUGGAAGAUUAGGCCACAUGAAAGCCUUUAUACUAAUUUGGUGGCCAUCAACAUUAGUGAAUCAAAGGAUCGAGAUGAAUCUUAUUUUUCUCUCUGUCUGUGAGAGUUCUUUCCUAUGUCUGUGGCAGGACUGGUUUAGAUUUUUAAGGCCCGAGGCAAUGUCAAAAAAUGUGCCCUCAUUUUAUAUAAGAAAAUUAUUUGUUUUCACACAUAAGACAACGAUAAAAUUAUACUUAGAAAAGCACCUUAAACUUAAUAAUUUAGAAACACAGAAAAAAUAAUUUAUUUUGUAUCGUGAGAAGGAAACAAAAAAACUCUGGGUUUACAAGUAGAUAGACAAGAGUUUUGUUUUCCAUCUGAACUUUUAAAGUGUUUUUGUAUAAAUCGUGAGGUGUUUUUUCUUAUUUACUAACCUUGUCAAUAUGGGACUAAAAAAAUAAUGAUGUUUUUGAGUCUUUAAUUGAUAUGUAUAGGUAAUAAAUAGGUACUAAAUUAAACUUUUUGAUGACAUGUCAUAUGUUUUGCAAAUUUGGUCUAAAAUUUUGGUCAACGCAUUACUCUUUGUUGAAGAUUAGACUUGAAUUGGAACAAAUGUUUAAAAAUAACAACCCACAUAGCUACUAGCUACUAAUUAAAUAAAUUAACAACCAAACAAAAAUUCUUAAAAAUUGAAAAUAAUAAACAUGCACUUAGCAUUUCGAACUUAGGAUCUCUCGUUAAUUUUAAACAACAAAAACCAUUGAUUCUAAUUAAACUCCUUGAUUAUUUAGUUAAAUUUUAUAUAUUUAUACUCUUAUGAUGAAAAGAAAUUUGUAAAAAUUAAAAAGUAAAUAAGCACAAAUGGUGUUUUGAACCCAAGACCUCCUCUUUAAUUUCAAACAACAAAACCAACAAUUCUAGUUCAAUUUCUUUAUCAUUGAACCAAAUUAUUAUAAAUUUAUAUUUUUAUGAAAACAUAUAUAAAUAUACCGCUCUAAUAAUUUUAGUGCCCCCAAUUAUUCUAGGCCCCAUACGGUCGCCCGCCAGUACUGGGCCUGGGCCGGCCUUGGUCUGUGGGGCUAUCUGUGAUAGUCUCCCUUCGAUUGCCAUUUUAAGAGUCGACUGCUGGGAUUUCUCUUUUUAUUUUUUGCUUUCUUUCCACACCUUCGUCCUCGUUUUGCAGCCCCUCUUCCUCAAACCCAACCUUUCCAUAUUUUCAUCACCAACUCACACAUCAUCCUUUUCAACCAUUUUCUUCCCCCACUGUCUUCCUUUCCCCUUAACCAAAAAUUAGAUCUUACAGUUUUGGAGUUGAUCUGGAAUUUCAAUUGCUGCAUUUUAAGAUUUGAUUUUUUCUUUGGGUUUGCUUGUCACUUUUGGUUUGAUUUGGCUGUGGGUUGCUUCGAUUUAAUGGGGAUUAAGGUUUUGUUGGUUGUUUUCAGUUUGGACUAACUACUUUUGAUUUUGUCUUGUAUCUAUUUGUUAUUGGUACUUCUCUCGGCCCUUUCUACAGUUAUGGAUUUCAUGUUUACAGUGGUGGGUCAGAUAGUUCAAGAGUCAUGUUUAACUCAUCAUUAGAUCGCUUGAAGAUGACGCAUGUUGCUAGCUCUGGGAAUGUCCUACUAUACCAUAUUCUACAGAACUCCUGUAGGCUUUGGUCUUGUUUUUUCUCCUUUUUUCCUGUCGAGACUUCGGUCUCCUUUUUGUGCUUGGGUUGCUGGCGGUGGUGGAUUCAGGAGGAUUGAAGAAGUUGCUAGGUUUUUUUUGUAUUUUGCUUUUCCUAUUAUGGGCUCCAAUUUCUGUAUUGGCCGGACUGUUGUUUGUAUUUGUUUGUUUGGAGGAUCAUUUCUUUUGUUUUUGGGCCUGCUUUUUGUAAUCUUGUUCCGUUGGUAAUGAAGUUACAUUUGACAAAACAAAAAAAGAAAAAAAUUGGGUGGCCAAUCUCUUUUGCCUUCCUUUUGUCAUGUUUCUCUUCUCUUAAUUUUUUUUUAAAAACAAAUUAAUCUUUUGGAUUGUCAUAGUAUUUUCCAAAAACAAAUCUGGGCAUUAUCCAAGCCACCAGUCUAAACUCAAAGAGGCAUGAGGUCUCCAUAAAAGAAUAAUUAAAUAAAGUUGUUAAUAAAAUCAUAACAUAUAUCACUAACUUGUUUUUCUGAAGAUAGAGGCAUAUAGUAGCAAUUUCCUAAAACAGAAAUAUGUCCCCACACUAGUACAAUAGCUCGUGGACAUCUAUCUUGCACGAUACAACUAUCUAAUCCAAAUUCUUGACGAAAUGAAGGGUGUUUCUCAUUGAAAGAAUAUGUAGAGAACGUUUCAAUUGAUGAUUACGUUUGUGAUAUUGCAACCAUAUAUAUAAUGGCUUAAUCCAACAGUUGCAACUGUUAGAUGUAGUUGUGACUGUUUGAAUUGGUCUUAUCUUUUAAAAAGGGUGCUAACUAUUAACUGAAAACAUUCUUAUACUUUCAGAAGAAACUUAACCGAACAACAAAAACAUACAAACGAUUCUUGAGUUGUAUUAAUAUAUACCAAAGCCAAAGCCCGAGGUGAGUGGAUGCCUUAGUUCUCAGUUAACUAUGAGUGAGGAAGACUCACUUAUAAAGAUACUUUCAAUUAGGCUUGUGGCCGAUGUGGGACUAAUGAUCCCCAUGAGUCCCAACAAUACCUAUAUUUUCUAUUCAAACCCUAGUAACAUGUACACUUCAUGGUUCAAACACACAUAAAUUGGAAAAGUAGAUAAGCUUUCUUGUUGUGUGUCUGCACAAUUCGUCAGGUGUGGAGUUUUAUCACAAAAGGUUUAGGUAUUAGUUGGAGUGGUGUUAGAAUAUUUAACUCUUCUUUCCUCUGAAAUACGGUCGAUGUGAGAUAUUUCAACAGUAGUAGGAGUUCGUUUUAACAAAAUCUAGUAUUAGUAAUUGUAUUGUUAAAGAGAACACUAAGUGUCAUUAGAAGAGAGUAUUCACUAGAUUGACUAGUACUAAUCUUGUGUUACUAAAACAAACUACACUGAAUCUUCACUAUAUAAGAGAUAACAUAAGUUCAAAUUUCAUAUAUAAUGAAUGAUAACUAUUUUUUCCCUUAUUUUGUCAAUAAGUAAUUACUUAAUAAGACCAUCGUACGUGCAUCAUUCCUGCAAGAGCAGACCAACCCGAAAAGGGACUAGCAUACAAAAAGUAUGUCACUUAUGCAGCAUAGCAUGAGUAAUGGUUUUCCUCCGCAACAUUUACAAGCAAAUACAUAAACUAGGCUUCAACCCAAUAAAACGAUCAUACGAUGAGUCCUAACAGUGGCCACACGAGGAAAACCCUAGAAGUCCGAAAAUCAGUGACGACGGUUGAAAACAAAAAACUAUUCUACAAAAGUCAAAGGGUAAU
This 4038-nucleotide long non-coding RNA is filed under the name Malus domestica (apple). Its description in RNAcentral is "long non-coding RNA (MDOM_LNC014771)". Lineage: Eukaryota; Viridiplantae; Streptophyta; Magnoliopsida; Rosales; Rosaceae. The record is from RNAcentral.